This is a long non-coding RNA of Nilaparvata lugens (brown planthopper), 710 nucleotides long. RefSeq lists it as uncharacterized. The transcript has 3 exons. Lineage: Eukaryota; Metazoa; Arthropoda; Insecta; Hemiptera; Delphacidae. The record is from RefSeq and is a predicted model, not a curated record.
UGAUGAAUUUUGUGUUCCAGCCUUGAAUAACAAAUGUAGACAAUUGACAACCAUACAAGAAAUAUAGGUGAUGAAAGACAUACAAACGGAAAUCCUAGCAUUUAUAAAACCAAAGGAUGCUGACCCAUUCGCUUUGAAAAAUGUUGGUUUCGACCUACCAUUUAGAACUGUGGAUGACGUAACCAAAGUUGAAGAAUGGCUAAGGACUUCAGAGAAUAUGAUACAGUUUGAGCACAUUCUUUCUACCGUUGGAGAAAGGAAAGUAGAAAAUGUCACAUGAAGAAUGAUUGAAAAGAUAUUUACAAACCAGCUGGCACUGCGAUACAAUUGGACAGGGGAAAAUGGAAAGGACUCACUCUGCUUGCCACCAUUAAAAAUGAUGGAAUCAGACCAGGACUACUGAAUGUUGGUGAUUCCACUACUGAAGACUUCUAGAGCAAGGUGAAGAAGUGCCUGAAAUGCCUGGUGAUCCAAAAUGUAGUAUCCAAUCAACCGGAGGAUAUGUUCCUGGAUGAAUUUAUUCAAAGUGACAACUCCGCUGAGCAACCGACAACCACUGAACAAGUACCAAGUUCCAGUAACAUCGACCAUGAUUACAGUUUGAGAAGUUUAGACCUGGCAUUAUUACAACCCAUGUGAGUAAGCCGCGAAUUGGAUUAUCUAAAUGAUGAUAACCUUGAAAACAUUAAUUCAAUUGAAGAUAUUUUUUA